RNAcentral lists this ribosomal RNA (433 nucleotides) under uncultured bacterium. Its description in RNAcentral is "partial 16S ribosomal RNA". It matches the Rfam family "Bacterial small subunit ribosomal RNA", at positions 29 to 507 of the family's 1533-position model. The record is from RNAcentral.
AACGAACGCUGGCGGCAGGCCUAACACAUGCAAGUCGAGCGAGGACUUCGGUCCUAGCGGCGGACGGGUGAGUAACGCGUGGGAACGUGCCCUUUGCUUCGGAAUAGCCCUGGGACACUGGGAGUAAUACCGGAUGAGCCCUCUGGGGGAAAGAUUUAUCGGCGAAGGAUCGGCCCGCGUUGGAUUAGGUAGUUGGUGGGGUAAUGGCCUACUAAGCCGUGGAUCCAUAGCUGGUUUGAGAGGUUGAUCAGCCACACUGGGACUGAGACACGGCCCAGACUCCUACGGGAGGGAGCAGUGGGGGAUCUUAGACAAUAGGGGAAACCCUGAUGUAGCCAUGCCGCGUGAGCUAUGAAGGCCUUAGGGUUGUAAAGCUCUUGCAGCUUGGAAGGUAAUGACGGUACCAGCAGAAGAAGCCCCGGCUAACUACGUG